GAUGAACGCUAGCGGGAGGCCUAGCACAUGCAAGCCGAGCGGUAUUGUUUCUUCGGAAAUGAGAGAGCGGCGUACGGGUGCGUAACACGUGUGCAACCUGCCUUUAUCUGGGGGAUAGCCUUUCGAAAGGAAGAUUAAUACUCCAUAAUAUAUUGAACGGCAUCGUUUAAUAUUGAAAGCUCCGGCGGAUAGAGAUGGGCACGCGCAAGAUUAGCUAGUUGGUGAGGUAACGGCUCACCAAGGCGAUGAUCUUUAGGGGGCCUGGGAGGGUGAUCCCCCACACUGGUACUGAGACACGGACCAGACUCCUACGGGAGGCAGCAGUGAGGAAUAUUGGUCAAUGGGUGCAAGCCUGAACCAGCCAUCCCGCGUGAAGGACGACUGCCCUAUGGGUUGUAAACUUCUUUUGUAUAGGGAUAAACCUACCCUCGAGAGGGUAGCUGAAGGUACUAUACGAAUAAGCACCGGCUAACUCCGUG
Molecule: ribosomal RNA, 479 nt
Filed under: uncultured bacterium
Lineage: Bacteria
Description: partial 16S ribosomal RNA
Rfam family: Bacterial small subunit ribosomal RNA
Source: RNAcentral